This 2161-nucleotide long non-coding RNA is filed under the name Gossypium barbadense (sea-island cotton). Its description in RNAcentral is "long non-coding RNA (GBAR_LNC013942)". The record is from RNAcentral. Lineage: Eukaryota; Viridiplantae; Streptophyta; Magnoliopsida; Malvales; Malvaceae.
UUUUUAUCAUCUUUUCUAGCCGAAUUUGAACAAAAGAAAAAAAAGGAAGAAAGCUAGCUAGGUUCGGCCAUUGUUGUGCUUAAAUUUAAGGUUAGUUCUUUGUUCGGUUUUUGAUAAUUUUUACGUUUUUGAGAUCGUUGCUUCGAAUACUUCAAAACCCAUGUAUUAAUUUUGUGAAUUGUUGAUGAUUUUGAAAUGUGCCAUUGAUGAAUGUUUGAGUUUUGUGAUGUUAGUUGAUGAAAUAUGAAAUAUAUGUGUUAGAUUAACAUGUUUUGUCUUUGAAUUUUUAGUGAAUUUGAGUAAUUUGAGUUAAAUUGUGAAAAUAAAUUUUUGAGGGACUAAAAUGUGAAAUAAAUGAAAUGUGUGGACUUGUAUGAAGACAAGGAACAUUCGACCCUAGCAUAGUGUGGGCAAAUUUUGUGUAUUUUGUGUUUUGGUGCAAAAAGGACUAAAUUGCAAAAAGUGUAAAAUGUCAGGGGUAAAAUGGUAAUUUGUCUAUUUAUGUAUUUUUGGAUUUAAUUGAAUGUUUUGAUGAAUAAAAAGGUUAAAUUUGAAUAUGUUUAGAUCAAGAAACGAAGAAAACGGAAUUGGAUCGGGGGAAAACGAAAGUAGUCGAGUAGUCGAUUGUGUCCGCUGAUAUCCGAGGUAAGUCUAUUAGUUAUUUAAUAUUAUUAAAUCGGUAUAUAGGUAUGUAAAUGUAUUGUAUUUUUGUUGAACUUUAAUUUAAAAGCAUAUUGAUUGAAAUAAAAUAAAGUAUGAAUGAUAUACAUGUAUUAUUAAUGUUCGAAUAUAUGUAUAGGUUUAUACUUAUAUAAACCUUUAAAUUUAGUUAAAGUAUAACCGGAUAUAAGUAUAUACAUGUAUAAAUUGUUAGAUUAAUCAAAGAUAUGGAUAAGAUAUAUGUAUAUAUAUAAGGUUCAAAUGAUUAUAUAAGUAUAUUUAUAUAUAAACUCUUGGAUUUGAUUUGUGAUAUAUGUAUGUUAUAAUUGUAUAUAUAUAGAUUCAAACAAGCAUACAAAUACACAUAUAUGUGUUGUGUAUUGAAUUUCGAUAUGUCAUAUAUAUAUGUAUAAGUUCUUGUUUUGAAAUUGAGUAUGAAUUUAUAUAUUUAUAUGGUAGAUUCGAAUAUGUAUAAAUGCACAUGUAUAAUUUCUUGAAUUGAAAUUAGGUUUGGGAUUAUAUAUGUAUACAUGAAAUCAAAUGUGAACGUAUAUGCAAAUGUAUAAGUUUUGUAUUGAAUAAAUGGUAUGAAAUUAUUAGCUUAGAUUAUUUUAAUAUGUUCGAAUGCUAAAGGCACAUAGUAUAUUAUAAGUUCAAUCUUACGAUAUUAGUAGUAGAAUCAAAAGUAUGAGGUUAUAUAUAUAAAUAUGUUUUGGUUGAAUUAUUGAAUUAUCAAGUUAGACUUGGUGAUGGAGAUUUAUAUAUCCAUGUGUUUUAAAAAUAUAAGUUAUGAAUUUUGAACUGAAUCUCUAUGCAUGGAUUUUAUAUAAUAUAUAUAGUUUGAAAAUAAGAUGUUUCAGACUUUACGUCUAAGAGGCUUGAUGCCGAUGAAAUGUUUCAGACUUUAUGUCUAGCAGGCUUGAUGCCAGUGAAUUACUUCAGACUUUAUGUCUAGCAGGCUUUGUGCCGGUGAAAUGUAUCGGGCUUUGUGCCUAGCAGGCUUUAUGCCGAUGUUUUAUACAAGGCUCUAUGUUAUAUAAAUCUUAUGUGAGCAAUAGUAAAAGCAAAUAAUGUGUUAAGAAAGCUAAAUUAUUCAGGUAUGUGUUAGCCAUUUGCUUAAUUAGUGUUAAGGUAAGUUGAUUGUUAUAAUUUGAUAAUAGUUUCAAAUGAAAUAUAGAGUAUGAGUUUACCAUUUGAGUAUAAGCAUUUUUGGCACAAUGAUUUAUUUAAUAUUUGGCUUUGCUAAAUAUUUAUGUGUAUUUGGCCAUAUGGUUUGUUUAUGUGAAAAUACAAGGUGAUUUUUAUUAAAGUGUUAUAUGGUACAAAUAUUAGGAUAUUUUGUUUAUUUUAUCUUAAUGAUGGAAUAAGUAUUAGUAUAUAUAUAAAUGAAUUUUUUAUUAUAAUUUACUAAGCUUUAAUAGCUUAAUGUGUGUUUGUAUUUGUUUACCUCUGUUUUAUAGAUUUUGGAGUCGCGUUACGAGCUCAGGGAUUGUCAGCAUAG